Non-coding RNA from Pelobates cultripes (western spadefoot toad), 308 nucleotides. The record is from the annotation of a GenBank genome assembly. NCBI's taxonomy places the organism in Eukaryota, Metazoa, Chordata, Amphibia, Anura, Pelobatidae.
AGGCUACAUGUUUAACAAGCCCUCUCAUAUAGCCAGGUAGCAGAUAGUGUGGUUCUGCAAGCAGGCUGCUGUUGGAUGUCAUAAUGGGAGUUGUUGUCAGACAGCUGUAGGUCUCCAUUUUCGCUGACAAAUUGAGUAGCCUAUUGUAUAAUGAAUCAGAUAUCACUGUGAUAGUAAAUCAGUGCUUUGUUUCACUUAAACCAGCUUGAUCUAAACUUUAAAAAGAAUCUACCAUAAAAAAAAAAAUGUGUUUUGUACCUUUAUAUAUGCGUUUGUGCUGUGUGGUUGAGUGUCGAGCAAGUUCAAGC